This 603-nucleotide long non-coding RNA is filed under the name Pan troglodytes (chimpanzee). Its description in RNAcentral is "long non-coding RNA NONPTRT011252". Lineage: Eukaryota; Metazoa; Chordata; Mammalia; Primates; Hominidae. The record is from RNAcentral.
GAGGAGGAACAGGAGGAGGAGGAAGGGAGGAAGAAAAGGAAAAAUAUUAGCCCGCUGUGGUGGCACACACCUAUAGUCCCAGCUAUUUGGGACGCUGAGGCCAGAAGACCCCUUGAGGCCAGGAGUUUGAGGCUGCAGUGAGCCAUGAUUAUGCUACUGUGCUCCAGCUUGUGAGACAGAGUGAUAUCUUAUGUCAAAAAUAAAUAAAUAAGUAUUGGUGAAAAUACAAUAGGAUAAAAUUGCAAGCCAUAGGAAAUGGAACUCUAGCACAUACAGAGAGAUGGUAAUCUUGUGAAGCAACAGUGUAUUGAAAUUAUGAAAUAAGAGUUUUUCAUGCAAAUGUGAGGAAUUUGCUGAGGACAAGUAAGAAGGCCAAUUCCUAUUGUGCAAAUCCUCUGGUCACUGGCUUCAACUAAUAAGGACAAGCAAAAGCACAGGAAGUCAUUUCCCUCCUACGAAGAUCAUUGCAAUGAGUGGGAACUGGUGCUUUCUGUGGCUCACGCCCAGUGGGUCUGAGGGGAAAUAGAAUCAAUAAAACGUUAAACAUAGUAAGUGCUAAAUGAACACUUCAUGAAUUGAAAGCUGACUAGAAAGCCAGCUAUG